CUUAUAGACCUAUGCAAUAGGCUUCUAAGACAACACUUCAGGGUGGGAACACAGCAGAGUAGCUUAGAUUUUUAUGUGCCGUAGGUAUCUGUAAGGGG
RNAcentral lists this signal recognition particle RNA (98 nucleotides) under Helicobacter sp. RNAcentral describes it as "signal recognition particle sRNA small type". It matches the Rfam family "Bacterial small signal recognition particle RNA". From Rfam's summary of the family: The signal recognition particle (SRP) is a universally conserved ribonucleoprotein involved in the co-translational targeting of proteins to membranes. Archaeal SRP consists of a 7S RNA and homologues of the eukaryotic SRP19 and SRP54 proteins. In most bacteria, the SRP consists of a 4.5S RNA and the Ffh protein (a homologue of the eukaryotic SRP54 protein). Lineage: Bacteria; Pseudomonadati; Campylobacterota; Epsilonproteobacteria; Campylobacterales; Helicobacteraceae. The record is from RNAcentral. RNAcentral also lists the same sequence under 2 other names.